This 633-nucleotide long non-coding RNA is filed under the name Malus domestica (apple). RNAcentral's name for it is "long non-coding RNA (MDOM_LNC009796)". The record is from RNAcentral. Lineage: Eukaryota; Viridiplantae; Streptophyta; Magnoliopsida; Rosales; Rosaceae.
AAUUGGGAAAAAUCCAAUUGGAAAAACAAUUUAAUCCUUUAAGACUAUAAUUCCUUAUAGACUUAGGACAACUUAUCAUGGGGCUGGAAAAAGCCUAAUAAGGAUAUAUAUAUACAUAUAUAUGUAUAUUGUUAGCUAAUAUAGGAUAAGUAGGUAUGAAAUCAUCCCUUUUUUCUAGCCUUUUCAACAACAUAUAAAGCUAUAGUCCCCAAGCCAUCAAAUAAAGCUAGAACGCUCUCUAUCAUACUACCAAAGACAAUGCACCAACUACUAUUCUAGGCAUAUCCAUCCCUCACUAAUCUCUGGCCCGUUUAAUAAUAAAAAAAAAAAUCACCCACAGUAAAAACCGAAACAGCUAAAUUAAACCCAAAAAUUAAUCAUCAUCAUCCAUUUGUAUUGCUGAGAAAUGUUUAGCCCUUUAAUUAAAACACCAAAAAAAAAAAAAUUCCUCACCCACAGUAAAAAACCGAAACAUGCAAAGCAAAACCCAAAAAUUAAUCAUCAGUAUUACUCUUUUUUUUUUCUUAAGUUUGAGGAAAAAAUCGAAGCACAAACAAUCAAAAAACCCACAACAACAACAACAAAACAACAACAAAGCAUUUUCCCACUAAGUGGGGUCAGCUAACAAACAAU